UACGUAGGGUGCAAGCGUUGUCCGGAAUUAUUGGGCGUAAAGAGCUCGUAGGCGGUUUGUCGCGUCUGCUGUGAAAACUCGGGGCUUAACCCCGGGCCUGCAGUGGGUACGGGCAGACUAGAGUGCGGUAGGGGAGACUGGAAUUCCUGGUGUAGCGGUGAAAUGCGUAGAGAUCGGGAGGAACACCCGUGGCGAAGGCGGCCACCUGGGCCGACCCUGACGCUGAGGCGCGAAGGCGUGGGGAGCGAACGGG
Molecule: ribosomal RNA, 253 nt
Filed under: uncultured bacterium
Lineage: Bacteria
Description: partial 16S ribosomal RNA
Rfam family: Bacterial small subunit ribosomal RNA
Source: RNAcentral